This 497-nucleotide ribosomal RNA is filed under the name uncultured bacterium. Its description in RNAcentral is "bacterial SSU rRNA". It matches the Rfam family "Bacterial small subunit ribosomal RNA", at positions 28 to 507 of the family's 1533-position model. The record is from RNAcentral.
GACGAACGCUGGCGGCGUGCCUAAUACAUGCAAGUCGAGCGGAGUUAGAGAAGCUUGCUUCUCUAACUUAGCGGCGGACGGGUGAGUAACACGUGGGCAAUCUGCCCGUAAGACUGGGAUAACUCCGGGAAACCGGGGCUAAUACCGGAUAAUCCUGACUCUCUCCUGAGAGUCAGUUGAAAGAUGGUUUCGGCUAUCACUUACGGAUGAGCCCGCGGCGCAUUAGCUAGUUGGUAGGGGUAAUGGCCUACCAAGGCGACGAUGCGUAGCCGACCUGAGAGGGUGAUCGGCCACACUGGGACUGAGACACGGCCCAGACUCCUACGGGAGGCAGCAGUAGGGAAUCUUCCGCAAUGGACGAAAGUCUGACGGAGCAACGCCGCGUGAGUGAAGAAGGUUUUCGGAUCGUAAAACUCUGUUGUUAGGGAAGAACACGUACGAGAGUAACUGCUCGUACCUUGACGGUACCUAACCAGGAAGCCACGGCUAACUACGUG